RNAcentral lists this ribosomal RNA (397 nucleotides) under uncultured bacterium. RNAcentral describes it as "partial 16S ribosomal RNA". It matches the Rfam family "Bacterial small subunit ribosomal RNA", at positions 523 to 918 of the family's 1533-position model. The record is from RNAcentral.
AUACGUAGGGGGCGAGCGUUGUCCGGAAUGAUUGGGCGUAAAGGGCGCGUAGGCGGCCCGGUAAGUCUGGAGUGAAAGUCCUGUUUUUAAGAUGGGAAUUGCUUUGGAUACUGUCGGGCUUGAGUGCAGGAGAGGUAAGUGGAAUUCCCAGUGUAGCGGUGAAAUGCGUAGAGAUUGGGAGGAACACCGGUGGCGAAGGCGACUUACUGGACUGUAACUGACGCUGAGGCACGAAAGUGUGGGGAGCAAACAGGAUUAGAUACCCUGGUAGUCCACACUGUAAACGAUGAAUGCUAGGUGUAGGGGGUAUCGACCCCUUCUGUGCCGCAGUCAACACAAUAAGCAUUCCGCCUGGGGAGUGCGGCCGCAAGGUUGAAACUCAAAGGAAUUGACGGGG